AAAAGCAAAGGUAGCUCUACUGUGACUAUAAGGUCUCAGCUUAAAAGGUGGCUUUCCAGAGAGGCCUUUCCUGAGCUUCACAUCUAAAACAGCACACUAAUCUCCCCAACAGGCUAUUUAGAAUAGCUUCAUUUCCUUCAUUUAUAUUUCUAUUAGAUACUUCCAUGUUUAUAUCUGUUAAUUGUCUACCUCCCUUCCACUGGAAUAUGAAUUCUAGACCUUGCUUUGUUAUCCCCAGUGCAUAGAAUGCUGCACAUAAUAGGUGCACAACAUUUGUUGAAUGAAUAAACCUAUAUUUGGAAACUAAAUUGUUAAUCCCUUACUUUAGGCUAGCUCACUAGUUGAUGAUUUUUAAAAAUUUGUUCCAUGGUUGGUUCUUUACUGUUGUUCAAUUUGUCUGAACAGUACAUCUUUCCCACUUCUCACUGUAGAUUUAUUUAUUUGUGGAUAUAAUUAAAGUUCUUUCUGAUGAUGCUGCAUUAGAGUGGAGAACAUUUAUCAAUCAGAUGGCAGUGUUUUGUGUAAGGUGUAUUAUAAUUAGUGUUUUGCCAAUAAAAUCGCAAAGCCUGUGGAUUUAUUGAAAGAAAUAAGUUGGAGUGAAUUUAAGUGUUUGUUGUUUUUAAUUUUAAUUACAUUACUGACUUGUGUUUUCUUGAAGGGGAGACAAAGAGGCUGCCAGGACUUGUUCCUGACUUUGGGCAAGUAUGUUGAAAAGAAAGACUGAGAUGCAUUUCUCUGGAUACAACUUUAAUAUCAGCUGCCUGGGCUAGAAGUUGUGAGAGUAAGAGGAGUGAACCCUUGUUUCAGCUGAAGGUAAAAGAUGGGGAAAGGCAAGAAGAUGGGAAGUGGAAGGGGAAAAAGGGACAGGAAGAUUGUUUAUCAGUUGAAAUGGCAUAAGAUAAAAUGGAAGCCCUUCAGACCUGAAUUGACAUCUUAUUACAUUCCACCUGAUUACUCAGUAAAAAUAAAAAACUUCAGCUGAAUAACGAGAACCAGUUGUCACCCAGAUCUUCAAUUAUUCACUUAAGGGUCCACGUGGCACUGACGGAGCAGGAGAACUCUUCCCUGGCUCUGUCAAACUUUAGGCAUGGAGAACACAGAGGAUUCCUUAGGGACCUGUCCUUCUUUCCUGGAGGAAACUGGAAGUCUUUUCUUUGAUCCGAGAACAGAAGAAAAUUGCAGUUAACAAGGGGAGGAAACGUAUGGAAGGUAGAAAAGCUAUAAAUGGAGGCUGGGCUUCGGGUAAUUGAGUGAGAAGACUGUCUUCUGUUGAGCUGCUCAAGAAAUACGUGUCACUGAGGUGAGCAAGUAAUACCAUCUGUCAGAGUCUUUUUGGCAGCUUCAAGUAGAUCAUGGUGCCCUGGGAGAGCUUCACAGAGCAGAAUAUCUGGAAUGUAGGCCAAGUCCUGCCAUGGUGCUUAGAGUGAUUUGACUGGGGUUUAAGUAAAUAUGUGAGAAUUUAUAUGUUCAAAAGACCUGUAAUUCCUUUUCAAUUCAUGAGUCUAUGUGCUGGAAUCCUCCCAGCAGCCCCACAGGAGUCAUUUUCUGCUUUCCUGCCCUGCUCUGUGCCUGGGGCUGAUCCUGCAGGCUGCAUCCCCAAAGCUCCCUAAUGGCCUCAGUUGUAUUCUCAGGAGAAGCCCCAGGAGGAAAGGGAGGUCAGGGCACACAUGGUCUUCUCUUCCCUGUUUUGGAACCAUAUCUCUCAUGACAGCUAUAGACCUUCUCAACUGCUGCAACACAUCUCCAUACUUAAGCUCUUUCUGUGUCCUGGAAACAUCAUUUCCUCCCUGUGACUCUAGCCCCUGAUAUUACUGGUUUCUGCACACCCAUCCUUUGCUUGUUCCCUGCCAACACCUAUGUAAGUGUCUUUUUGUUUGACCCAUCUUUUUUAAAACUUUAAUUUUAAGUUCCAGGAUAUAUGUGCAGGACAUGCUGGUUUGUUACAUAGGUAAACACAUGCCAUGGUAGAUUUGCUGCACCUAUCAACCCAUCACCUAGGUAUUAAACCCUGCAUGCAUUAGCUAUUUAUCCUUAUGCUCUCCCUCCCUCUGCCAUCCUGAUAUGCACUGGUGUGUGCUGUCCCACUCCCUGUGUCCAUGUGUUCUUACUGUUCAGCUCCUACUUACAAGUGAGAACAUAUAGUGUUUGGUUUUCUGUUCCUGUGUUAGUUUGCUGAGAAUAACGGCUUCCAGCUCUACUCUCCAGUCCAUUAUUGAUGGGCAUUUGGGUUGAUGCCAUGUCUUUGCUAUUGUGAAUAGUGGUGCAAUGAACAUACAUGUGCAUGUGCAUGUAUCUUUAUAACAGAAUGAUACAUAUAUGCGUGUGCACACACACAGAUAUAUAUAUAUAUCUGUAUAUUUGAGAUGGAGUCUUGCUCUGUUGCCUAGGCUGGAGGGCAAUGGCAUGAUCUCGGCUCACUGCAACCAUUGCCUCCCAGGUUCAAGUGAUUCUCCUGCCUCUGCCUCCUGAGUAGCUGGGAUUACUGGUGCCCACCACCAGGCCCAGCUAAUUUUUUUGUAUUUUUAGCAGAGACAGUAUUACAUCAUGUUUGCCACAUUGGUCUCAAACUCCUGACCUCAAGUGAUCCACCUGCUUCAGCUUCCGAAAGUGCUGGGAUUAUAGGUGUGAGCCAUUGCACCUGGCAGAAUGAUUUAUAUUUUUGGGGGUAUAUGUUCAGUAAUGGGAUUCCUGGGUCAAAUGGUAUUUCUGCAUUUCAACCAUCUUAAAUGAUUUCUGUUUCUUGCUAGAACACUCAAGGUCUAUAUACUUAUUUUUAUAAUAAUAAUAAGGUUGCAUAGUUACAAUGUGCCAGGUAUAGUUAUGAGGGUUUUUUUUUUAAUAUACAGACUUUAAUCUCAUAACCCUCACCACAACCCUAAGAGGUAGGUAUUAUUAUCUUCAAUUUACUCAUGAGGAAAUGAAGAUACUAUGUGGUAAGUCACUUGAGUAAUAAAUUACAGAGUAAUCUCAGGAGCUGCGAUUCAAACCCAGGCACACGGACUUCACAGUCCCUGAUUUAGUGCUCAGAACAUGUUUAAAUUCUUAAGUAAAUAAUGAAAAAGCCACUGCACUAGACCCUGGACUGGAAAUUUUACUGAAAUUUGAAUUUAUGGAAACCUGGAAAAGUUCUUAUUGUUUUCAGGUAUGGCAUAGUCUACCUGAUGACAGUGCUGAGCAUUAAGUUCUGUCGUAGAGAAUGUGCAAAGUGCAUCAGAGUGAAGUGGGCUCAAAGACAAAAGAUCUUGUUCUUGUGAAAUGGCAGGGGGACAAGUCACGGGUGGGGAGGAAGCCCAUAGGCAAUGGGAAUAGGAGAAAGAGGGGGCUCAUGUGUCAGGUACCUGGGAGUGUGUGAGGGAGAGAUGACACUAUCAGGAGGUUGGAAUCAGAUUUUGAAGAGCUGUGCAGGGAAGUUUGGUCUUGAUCUUGAAGACAACAGGGGAAUAAUCAGAAAGUUUUUAAAGCAGGAAAAUAACAGGAUUCAAUUUUUAUUUAAGAAAGAAUAAGAUGAAUGGGUAGACAGAUGCCAGAAGGACUGGUUGGGAGGAUGAUGAUGAUCCAAACGUGUCAUUAAUGGGCCUGCAAUAGAGGAGUGGAGAGGAUGAAUUGGAGUUGGCACAGUUUGGUGAGUGACCAAAUGUGAGGUCACAGGGGAAGGAGGAAUUCAAGGGAAUUCAGACAUUUAUUCUUCAAAGCCUGUGUCACAUUCUUUUGGUAUCUUUAGAUAUCAGCCUUUUAAUAUAGAACUGACUUUUGGAGUAGCCAGAAAUCAAAUCAGGUGAAUAAGACAGGUAAUAAAAUUAUUUUCCUCUUAUACUUAUAAUUUUUUUUAAAGCAAAAGCACAACACAAGUAGAUUUCAACCAAAAAUAAGGGAAGGGGCAAUACAAUGAAAUUCAGAACAAGGUGUUAUUAAGGUAAACUUUUGGGAGAAAGUGACUCUUAAAAGUAAAGUUAAAGUUUUUGAGGAAUAGUACUAUUUUACCCAAAGUAUAACUCUUAAGUACAAAACACAACUUUAGAAGUCAGCAAAAGAAAGAUUUUUAACAAAUGUACUAUAGUUUAAAUGUUACCUAUCAUCACCAUUCAUCAAAAUCAUGUUGAAAUUCAGUUUCAAUAUAGAAAAGUUUUAACUGUUGUUUCAUAAAAUAAUGUGCUGGUAAGUUUAAAAAUAAUUUAAUAUAUAACAUUUCAAUCAUAAAAUGGAAUUAAACACAAGUAUUUAUAAAUUUUAGUUGCCUGAGCAACAGAAGUGUUUCCUAGAACAGCCGUGUUCAAACCUUAGUGCACUUGUUAAAAUGCAGAUUCCCAGUCCCCACUCUAGAGAUUCUAACUCAUGAGGCAGAUAAAGUUCUGGAGUGUGUAUUUUUCACUCCCCUCCAGGUGAUUAUUAAGCACUUUGAGACACACAGUGAAAACCUUUGCUUAACCAGGAAAAAAGCAGGCAGAUAGAACAACGUGAUCAUCCCAUCUUCGCAUGUAAAAUAUUUCCUGUCAAUUCCAGUUGUGGACAGAAAACACAGUAGGCUAGUCAACAGCUUAGCCUCCUUCCUCUUCAUUAUAACCUUCUGCCUGCUGACUGGUAAAGGGCAUAAUUGCAAAUUUGCUACUUUUAGAUUGAUUCCUGGAAAUUACCAGAAGCAAAAUACUUGCUGUUUCAUAGCAAAUACAUGCACAAAAGUCCAACCAGAAUAGUACACAAUGAAAAGAAAAUAUUAGGGGCAGGCCCCAAAGAGAAAGAAAAUGCUCUGUGCUGGGGAAUGUGCUGGGAGGUGAUACUCACAGAGAUCGGAGGCUAAGCAACUGCUGGAAAGUGUCAACUUUAAUUUCGUAGAUUUCAUUAUGUCUUAGGUCACUGAAAUGACAGGGUGGCAAAGAUUGAUUUCAAAGUUACUGGUUUCAAAGAUUACAGACUUCAGAUGACUUUUAUAGAGGGACUACCUGCCCUCAAUCAAAGGAACACAUGAAGUGUAUCUAUCAAGUGACUGAUUUUUGUUUGUUUAAAGAAGAACAUUACCAUUUACACACUCAAGUAUUGUGCCUUUCAAAGGAGCUGGUUCACUUGGGAGGACAUAUAACUACAUUCCAAACAUGUAAUCAUCAUUCAAAACACUGGAGGACUCUUCUUCUAGUGCUGCCUUCUGAGCCUUUCUGGGAUUCAAGGGUCUUCAGGAGGGUCGUCAAUUCUUUACCUUUUGCAGAUGGAUUUGCUUUGUUUUUCUCUCUUAAGCACCAAAAGUCAUUGAGAGAAAAACUAAGUGUGAAGGGAUAGAAGAUGGUUAAUAUUGUUUUGAUCAAAACUAAAGUGUGACUAAAAAACAAGGCUGAUGUUUUGUAGAGGUGGCAAUUUUAAGAGAGGAAUUCUAAAGUGUUUUAUGCAUAAGUAGCAUCUGUAGCACCUUAAAUAUGACAAAUAUGGCCCUCUUUAAAGAUGACUAUUGUGAAAGAAAAACACCAAUAAACCUAAAUUCCAAUAUAUCAGAAAAUAACACCACUUAUUGGAUAUGUAAGUUUGGUUGUACUUGUAAAAUAAGAAAAAUUUCAAAGCCCAAACACACCCAAUUCACUAGUACCCUAAGUUAGAAGGGAAAAAAAAGCAGAUAUAUAAUAAAUGUUUUACUAAUAUUAUGGUACAGCUCAUGAAAAAUAAUAUUAUCUAUGUUUCCCAACUUUCUAACCAUCCUGCACAGUCACACCUUGUGCAUGUAAGAAGGAAAAGGAUCACAUGUCUCCCCAAUGAACCACAGGGUAGAUGAACAAAUGACCCUGAGAAAUGAGAGUUUUGAUUCUUGAUUUUUGCUAGGUGACUUAGAGACUUCUAGACUUACAUUUUCUGAAGCUUUUGGCAAACUGAAAAACUGGGUAAAUCUUCUAAUAGGUUGUAUGACAGAUCUCUGAAAAACAGAAGGUGCAAAAAGGGAAAAUCUGUUACAAAUAAAUCAUAAAGAAACAUGCUUUGCUCUCCUUUUCCCUCCAAGAUGUUAUAUCUCCCAAAGGCAGACUCUGAACAUUUUCACAGCCUGAUAUGGAGGAGGUAUUAUUGGAUUAACCAGUAGAUUUAAAUGUUUACUGAAAUGUAACUGUUAUACUUCUUUAAUUGAUUUAAAUAAUUUACUUAAUGAAUUCAUUUAUAUUUUGUUAGCAGUGCUCUACAAUGUUCUAGCUUUUAUCUUACUGCAAUGAGUACAAAUUAAAUAAUUGUGCCUCUGUCUCUAAGAGCUGCUACAUCUCUACAGCUAAGAUAAAUCAUUGUUGUUUCUUUUCUGAUCAACUCGUGAAAAAAAACCUAACAAUUCAAAACAUAGCAGGAACUUUGAAAUCAAUCACCGCAAGAAGGAGGCAGGGGAACAGAAUCUAAGAAAGUUUUCAGCCAAAAUUAAACAAAUUACAGAAUAACAAAAACAUCUGGACAUAUUUAUAGUAUAAUAUAACUAAUCUAAAGCAAGCCAUCAUAAUUUGCAGAAAGCUUAAAAGCAAAGAAAGUUGGUAGAUAAUGUAACAUAGAUAUAUAAAAAGCAAUUUUGUUUUAUGUUUUAAAUGUUAUCAGCUAAUCAGCUAACACAUUUUCAUGCCUGAUUCUAAUACUUGAAACCAGAUUACCACUAUGCAAUGAAAAAAAUUGUACUGUUUUCUAAGAGACUUUAAAUCAUUCUUA
Long non-coding RNA from Callithrix jacchus (white-tufted-ear marmoset), 6651 nucleotides. RefSeq lists it as uncharacterized. The record is from RefSeq and is a predicted model, not a curated record. Lineage: Eukaryota; Metazoa; Chordata; Mammalia; Primates; Cebidae.